This 427-nucleotide ribosomal RNA is filed under the name uncultured bacterium. RNAcentral describes it as "bacterial SSU rRNA". It matches the Rfam family "Bacterial small subunit ribosomal RNA", at positions 355 to 774 of the family's 1533-position model. The record is from RNAcentral.
UGGGGAAUUUUGGACAAUGGACGCAAGUCUGAUCCAGCCAUGCCGCGUGCGGGAAGAAGGCCUUCGGGUUGUAAACCGCUUUUGUCAGGGAAGAAACGAGUUUCUCUAAUACAGAGACUUAAUGACGGUACCUGAAGAAUAAGCACCGGCUAACUACGUGCCAGCAGCCGCGGUAAUACGUAGGGUGCAAGCGUUAAUCGGAAUUACUGGGCGUAAAGCGUGCGCAGGCGGUUAUGCAAGACAGAGGUGAAAUCCCCGGGCUCAACCUGGGAACUGCCUUUGAAACUGCAUAGCUUGAGUGCGGUAGAGGGAAGUGGAAUUCCGUGUGUAGCGGUGAAAUGCGUAGAUAUGCGGAGGAACACCAGUGGCGAAGGCGACCCCCUGGGCUGGGACUGACGCUGAUGCACGAAAGCGUGGGGAGCGAACA